This 75-nucleotide transfer RNA is filed under the name Porphyromonadaceae bacterium COT-184 OH4590. RNAcentral's name for it is "tRNA-Arg". It matches the Rfam family "tRNA". Rfam says of the family: Transfer RNA (tRNA) molecules are approximately 80 nucleotides in length. The record is from RNAcentral. Lineage: Bacteria; Pseudomonadati; Bacteroidota; Bacteroidia; Bacteroidales; Porphyromonadaceae.
GCCCUUGUAGUUCAAUGGAUAGAACGAAAGUUUCCUAAACUUUAAAUUUGGGUUCGAUUCCCAGCGAGGGUACAA